AGGUAUAAGUCUUAAAAGAGGGACGAAAGAUACCAGAGGGACAGUCAAACUCAUAAAUCGAAAAUAAACUGACAACGCCAUGGCUAAAAAUGAAAAAGACAAACAGACAAACAAUAGUACAUAUGACACAACAUAGAAAACUAAAGAAUAAGCAACACGAACCUCACCAAAAACUAGGGGUGAUCUCAGGUGCUCCGGAAGGGUAAGAAGAUCCUGCUCCACAUGUGGCACCCGUCAUGUUGCUUAUGUGAUAACAAAUCCGGUAAAUAGUCU
This 273-nucleotide long non-coding RNA is filed under the name Mytilus galloprovincialis (Mediterranean mussel). The record is from RNAcentral. Lineage: Eukaryota; Metazoa; Mollusca; Bivalvia; Mytilida; Mytilidae.